UUUUUUCAUGUGUUCAAGCUCGUUAAGACUAGAUGGGGUAUACCAACGUAGCGGAUGGGACCUACGGCGAAUGGUUCCUAGAAU
RNAcentral lists this small RNA (84 nucleotides) under Arabidopsis thaliana (thale cress). RNAcentral's name for it is "ATSL264990". The record is from RNAcentral. Lineage: Eukaryota; Viridiplantae; Streptophyta; Magnoliopsida; Brassicales; Brassicaceae.